UGACUCUGCAUUUCAGUCAGCUCGAUCAAGAGACUCCCGAAGAAGUGUCCGAAUGGGCAAGAGCAGCCGGUCAGCAGAUCAGUGUAGACAGUCUCUCCUCUUAUCGCCUGCUCUGAACUACAAGUUUCCUGGCCUCUCAGGCAAUGCUGAUGACACCCUUUCUCGAAAAUUGGAUGAUCUGAGUCUCUCCAGGCAAGGAACAAGUUUUGCCAGUGAAGAAUUUUGGAAAGGCAGAGUAGAGCAUGAAACUCCAGAAGACCCUGAAGAAUGGGCUGAUCAUGAAGAUUAUAUGACGCAGCUCCUCCUCAAGUUUGGUGAUAAAAGCCUCUUUCAGCCACAGCCCAAUGAGAUGGAUAUUCGAGCCAGUGAGCACUGGAUAUCUGAUAACAUGGUUAAAAAUAAGACCGAGUUAAAGCAAAAUAACCAGAGCCUUGCAAGUAAAAAAUACCAGUCUGAUAUGUACUGGGCACAGUCACAAGAUGGACUGGGCGAUUCUGCUUAUGGCAGCCACCCAGGCCCUGCAAGCAGUAGAAGGCUUCAGGAAUUGGAACUGGACCAUGGGGCUUCCGGGUAUAACCAUGAUGAAACACAGUGGUAUGAAGAUUCCCUGGAGUGUCUGUCAGACCUGAAACCAGAGCAAAGUGUUCGGGAUUCGAUGGAUUCUUUGGCAUUGUCCAAUAUCACAGGUGGAGUUUCGCUCUCGUCGCCCAGGAUGGAGUGCAAGUCUCACCUCACUGCAACUUCCGUCUCCCGGGUUCAAGUGAUUCUUCUGCCU
RNAcentral lists this small RNA (775 nucleotides) under Pongo abelii (Sumatran orangutan). Its description in RNAcentral is "processed transcript". Lineage: Eukaryota; Metazoa; Chordata; Mammalia; Primates; Hominidae. The record is from RNAcentral.